This 753-nucleotide ribosomal RNA is filed under the name uncultured bacterium. Its description in RNAcentral is "bacterial SSU rRNA". It matches the Rfam family "Bacterial small subunit ribosomal RNA", at positions 8 to 796 of the family's 1533-position model. The record is from RNAcentral.
AGAGUUUGAUCCUGGCUCAGAACGAACGCUGGCGGCAGNNNNACACAUGCAAGUCGAACGAGCUGAGACCUUCGGGUCUCGAUGCUAGUGGCGCACGGGUGAGUAACGCGUGGGAACGUACCCUUUAGUACGGAAUAACCCAGGGAAACUUGGGCUAAUACCGUAUACGCCCUUCGGGGGAAAGAUUUAUCGCUAAAGGAUCGGCCCGCGUCUGAUUAGGUAGUUGGUGAGGUAACGGCUCACCAAGCCGACGAUCAGUAGCUGGUCUGAGAGGAUGAUCAGCCACACUGGGACUGAGACACGGCCCAGACUCCUACGGGAGGCAGCAGUGGGGAAUAUUGGACAAUGGGCGAAAGCCUGAUCCAGCCAUGCCGCGUGAGUGAAGAAGGCCUUCGGGUUGUAAAGCUCUUUCGGCGGGGACGAUGAUGACGGUACCCGCAUAAGAAGCCCCGGCAAACUUCGUGCCAGCAGCCGCGGUAAUACGAAGGGGGCUAGCGUUGUUCGGAAUUACUGGGCGUAAAGCGAACGUAGGCGGUGUUCCAUGUCAGAGGUGAAAGCCUGGGGCUCAACUCCAGAAUUGCCUUUGAAACGGGAACGCUUGAGUCCGAGAGAGGGUGGCGGAAUUCCUAGUGUAGAGGUGAAAUUCGUAGAUAUUAGGAAGAACACCAGUGGCGAAGGCGGCCACCUGGCUCGGUACUGACGCUCAGGUUCGAAAGCGUGGGGAGCAAACAGGAUUAGAUACCCUAGUAGUCC